RNAcentral lists this ribosomal RNA (512 nucleotides) under uncultured bacterium. RNAcentral describes it as "partial 16S ribosomal RNA". It matches the Rfam family "Bacterial small subunit ribosomal RNA", at positions 28 to 523 of the family's 1533-position model. The record is from RNAcentral.
GACGAACGCUGGCGGCGUGCCUAAUACAUGCAAGUCGAGCGGAUUGAUGGGAGCUUGCUCCCUGAUAUCAGCGGCGGACGGGUGAGUAACACGUGGGCAACCUGCCUAUAAGACUGGGAUAACUUCGGGAAACCGGAGCUAAUACCGGAUAAUCCCUUUCCUCUCAUGAGGAGAGGCUGAAAGAUGGUUUACGCUAUCACUUAUAGAUGGGCCCGCGGCGCAUUAGCUAGUUGGUGAGGUAACGGCUCACCAAGGCAACGAUGCGUAGCCGACCUUAGAGGGUGAUCGGCCACACUGGGACUGAGAGACGGCCCAGAAUCCUACGGGAGGCAGCAGUAGGGAAGCUUCCGCAAUGGACGAAAGUCUGACGGAGCAACGCCGCGUGAGUGAUGAAGGUUUUCGGAUCGUAAAACUCUGUUGUUAGGGAAGAACAAGUACGAGAGUAACUGCUCGUACCUUGACGGUACCUAACCAGAAAGCCACGGCUAACUACGUGCCAGCCGCCGCCGUAA